This 465-nucleotide ribosomal RNA is filed under the name uncultured bacterium. Its description in RNAcentral is "partial 16S ribosomal RNA". It matches the Rfam family "Bacterial small subunit ribosomal RNA", at positions 338 to 795 of the family's 1533-position model. The record is from RNAcentral.
CCUACGGGAGGCAGCAGUGGGGAAUAUUGCGCAAUGGGCGAAAGCCUGACGCAGCGACGCCGCGUGUGGGAUGAAGGUCUUCGGAUCGUAAACCUCUGUCAGCAGGGAAGAACGGUCACUGUGCUAAUCAGCAGUGAAUUGACGGUACCUGCAAAGGAAGCACCGGCUAACUCCGUGCCAGCAGCCGCGGUAAUACGGAGGGUGCGAGCGUUAAUCGGAAUUACUGGGCGUAAAGCGCUCGUAGGCGGUAUGUCAAGUCAAGGGUGAAAUCCCCGCGCUCAACGUGGGAACUGCAUUUGAAACUGGCAGACUGGAGUGUGUGAGAGGAGAGUAGAAUUCCAGGUGUAGGAGUGAAAUCCGUAGAUAUCUGGAGGAACAUCAGUGGCGAAGGCGACUAUCUGGCACAUAACUGACGCUGAGGAGCGAAAGCGUGGGUAGCAAACAGGAUUAGAUACCCGUGUAGUC